UGAUCAGUAAUCUUAAACCAAAUAUCAACCUCAUGCAAAUUUGAUGUUCUGAAAUCCGAUUGUUGGAUUCAACUAUCAAAUUUACAACCACAACCUAACCGUAAUUAACUACUGAAAACGUCGAUCACUUUUACCCUGUUUUCACAACUACAAAAUCAAAUCAAGCAUUCUCUCAUAAUACACAGUCCGCUCAUUACAAACUGUGAGGGAUUCCAUUCACUAGCUUUCAUAUACAUCUAUGUAUGAAUACAAUUAAACUACCAUAAGGUCAAACAAAUUAAAAUCACAUUAAACAUAAUCCAACUUUUUUCAUUUCUUCAAUUACUGCUACAUGUUGACUGUUUCAAUCAUUCUACAUCAAUCUAGAUUUGAAGGCAAAUACCUGGAAAUAGAGUAAGAAUGGUGGAGAAAAGUCAACCAAAACAGUGAUAGUGCAGCAUCAAUAAUGAAUAUGUUCUAGCAAAUUUGAGUGACUAACGACCAGGAAUAGAUUCAGAAAAACCAGGGACAUUCAACUAUCAAGCAGCAGUUAACAAACACUCAAAAUGUACCCAAGUAAUCUCGAAAAGUAUCCAGACCCUUAAACAAUCCCAAAAUCUACCCAAAACCAGUUCAAACAACCCAAAAUUGCUCAAAAUUUACGUACUGCACGCCUAGAAUUUCAGGAUCCAAGUGCUGCCCUAGGGGAAAGGAAAUCAGCAACUAACAACCAGAAUUAACUUGAAUUCCCUUAUGGAACAGUACUUUUUGCUUUUUCUGAAGAUUUUUCUUUUGUUUUUUUUUUGUUUUUGAAUAUUAAAAUUCAAAUCUUGAUAUGAAAUUGAGGAAUUCUUUUGGUGGGAAUUGGAUGGCUGAAGCUAACCCCAUUCAAGGCAUUUUGAUGCCUUUUUAUAAGCAACCAAGAAUGGGUAUAGUGUUUCCUUUAGGUCCUUGUUAAUUUUCAGCCAUUAACCCUUAUUUCAUGACUUGUAACUGAAGUCACCCCUUAUUUCUACUGAAAUGUACUAUAACACCCACACCUAGAAGCUUCUAGGAAAUUCUUAGCUAGAUUCCAUACCCUAAAUUACCCCAACUACCCUCAACUUAUCCUAAAAUUACUAAAGUAGAACAAUUAUAUCCAAACAAAUACCAGGGUCUGAACUUUCAACUAGAAAAAGUAAUCAUAAUUCAACUAUUAACUAACCUAUCUACUGAAACCAUUUAAACAACAACAAUCAUCAAAACUAAUUACAAAUUAAAAUUUAAUCAGACUUAACAACCAUUCAAACAAUUAUUAACUAAACAGAAUUACAAUUGAGAUUAAGAAUGAUUAUUCAAAUAGCCAAAUUGAAACAAAUCUAACGAAUAACCAAUUAAUCACCUAAAACUAAAACGAAUCAAGCAGAUAGGGAUCAAAAAGAUAAAACAACAAUAAAGAAAAGUCACUAAUUACGGACUAACAAUUAUUACCAAACAAAGUUAAGAAGCUAUAUAAUCCUGGGAGGUCAGUGAACAUAAAAAAAAAUAAAAAAAUAAAAAGGAAAUAAACUCGAAAACUCACUGACUCCCUUCGAGACUCCGGUCAAAUUUCCAAAUUCGAACACGAACAACUCCAGUAGAAACAAAGCUCGAUUGAUGACCAAUUCACUGCGAGGAAGGUUAGAGGGUCAUUUGGUAUCAAAUUGGUGAGGUUUAGGGCAGUUAAGGUUUGGCCAGAAAAUCUUUGAAGCCAAAUUCGAGGAGUUACCGUGGGAUUCGAAGAAAACCAAUUGGUGCUUUGGGAUGAGGGUGGUGAGGAGAAUCUAUAGUGUUGAUUUGAAAGGAUUGGAUGAAGUAGCAUCGUGGCCGGAAAACUUCCAACGAAGAUUCGACGAGCUCCGACAAGAUUCGAUGGAAACCAAAGGUAGGUAUGGAAGGAGGGGAACGAUGAACAUUGGUGGUGUAAUUUUGGGGUCGUUUGGAGGUGGUGGCGUUCACCGCCGUCGGCGGCUCUGGCGGAGAUCCAGAGAGUGCUACGAGAAGGAUGACACGGUCUCUAGGUUU
This 2022-nucleotide long non-coding RNA is filed under the name Nicotiana benthamiana. RNAcentral describes it as "long non-coding RNA (NBEN_LNC011162)". Lineage: Eukaryota; Viridiplantae; Streptophyta; Magnoliopsida; Solanales; Solanaceae. The record is from RNAcentral.